This 253-nucleotide ribosomal RNA is filed under the name uncultured bacterium. RNAcentral describes it as "partial 16S ribosomal RNA". It matches the Rfam family "Bacterial small subunit ribosomal RNA", at positions 524 to 776 of the family's 1533-position model. The record is from RNAcentral.
UACGUAGGGUGCGAGCGUUAAUCGGAAUUACUGGGCGUAAAGCGUGCGCAGGCGGUUUUGUAAGCCAGAUGUGAAAUCCCCGGGCUUAACCUGGGAAUGGCAUUUGGGACUGCAAGGCUCGAGUGCGGCAGAGGAGACUGGAAUUCCUGGUGUAGCAGUGAAAUGCGUAGAUAUCAGGAGGAACACCGGUGGCGAAGGCAGGUCUCUGGGCUGACACUGACGCUCAUGCACGAAAGCGUGGGGAGCAAACAGG